UACGUAGGGUGCAAGCGUUGUUCGGAAUUAUUGGGCGUAAAGGGGGUGUAGGCGGUGGGUUAAGUCUUCUGGUAAAUCUACGGGCUCAGCCUGUAACGUGCAGAGGAAACUGGCUGACUUGAGUGUCGGAGAGGAUAGUGGAAUUCCCGGUGUAGAGGUGAAAUUCGUAGAGAUCGGGAGGAACACCAGUGGCGAAGGCGACUAUCUGGCUGACAACUGACGCUGAGACUCGAAAGCAUGGGGAGCAAACAGG
Molecule: ribosomal RNA, 253 nt
Filed under: uncultured bacterium
Lineage: Bacteria
Description: partial 16S ribosomal RNA
Rfam family: Bacterial small subunit ribosomal RNA
Source: RNAcentral